RNAcentral lists this ribosomal RNA (497 nucleotides) under uncultured bacterium. RNAcentral's name for it is "partial 16S ribosomal RNA". It matches the Rfam family "Bacterial small subunit ribosomal RNA", at positions 28 to 507 of the family's 1533-position model. The record is from RNAcentral.
GAUGAACGCUGGCGGCGUGCCUAAUACAUGCAAGUCGAGCGAACAGAUAAGGAGCUUGCUCCUUUGACGUUAGCGGCGGACGGGUGAGUAACACGUGGGUAACCUACCUAUAAGACUGGAAUAACUCCGGGAAACCGGGGCUAAUGCCGGAUAACAUGUUGAACCGCAUGGUUCUACAGUGAAAGGCGGCUUUGCUGUCACUUAUAGAUGGACCCGCGCCGUAUUAGCUAGUUGGUGAGGUAACGGCUCACCAAGGCAACGAUACGUAUCCGACCUGAGAGGGUGAUCGGCCACACUGGAACUGAGACACGGUCCAGACUCCUACGGGAGGCAGCAGUAGGGAAUCUUCCGCAAUGGGCGAAAGCCUGACGGAGCAACGCCGCGUGAGUGAUGAAGGUCUUCGGAUCGUAAAACUCUGUUAUUAGGGAAGAACAAAUGCGUAAGUAACUGUGCGCGUCUUGACGGUACCUAAUCAGAAAGCCACGGCUAACUACGUG